RNAcentral lists this ribosomal RNA (436 nucleotides) under Yarrowia deformans. RNAcentral describes it as "partial large subunit ribosomal RNA". It matches the Rfam family "Eukaryotic large subunit ribosomal RNA", at positions 134 to 643 of the family's 3401-position model. The record is from RNAcentral. Lineage: Eukaryota; Fungi; Ascomycota; Dipodascomycetes; Dipodascales.
CCCUCGGGAUUGUAAUUUGAAGAUUUGGCAUUGGAGAAAGCUAACCCAAGUUACUUGGAAUAGUACGUCAUAGAGGGUGACAACCCCGUCUGGCUAACCGUUCUCCAUGUAUUGCCUUAUCAAAGAGUCGAGUUGUUUGGGAAUGCAGCUCAAAGUGGGUGGUAAACUCCAUCUAAAGCUAAAUACUGGUGAGAGACCGAUAGCGAACAAGUACUGUGAAGGAAAGGUGAAAAGAACUUUGAAAAGAGAGUGAAAUAGUAUGUGAAAUUGUUGAUAGGGAAGGAAAUGAGUGGAGAGUGGUUUAGGUUUCAGCCUUCUUUCGAGGGGGUGCACUACCAACGCCGAGUCAUUGAUAGCGAGACAGGGGUUAUAAACGGACGGCACUUGUGCUAUUCUCCUAACCCCUCUACUGCCACCAACGACAUAAUCCACCCAU